GGAAGUCGGAGGCGGGGAAGCGGUCACUGGCAGCGAGCGCAGGCAGCUGGCAGGGCGCAAAGUUGAGAGCAGUCCCUAGUCUAAGCCUUUCUGUCGCCCUCCAGCACCGCCAGGACCACGGACUCCGCCCUGCCGCGGCCGCUCAGCGGCGGUGCAGCGGCCACUUGACCAGGCCUAAUGUAUGACCUUUCCCAGAGAACGUUCCACAUGUACUUUGAAGAAUGUGUAUUCUGCUCUUGGGUGAACUCAUCUGUGUGUGUCUGAUUGUCCAAGCUUCCACCGGAGCGACACCAUCUCCUGUCUUGGCACUUCAUGAGUCGAAUGCUGCUUCCCGAGAGGAUCUGGUUGGUAGGCCGUGACCUUGAUUCCUGCCCCUGAGCCUCACUUUUUUCUUAUCAGCCACCACCUUUUGGGCACUAGGACAGUGCUUUUUAUAAUGCACUCAUCAGUGGAUGCUGAAAUAACAACCUGGCCAUUUGGAUGUGCAACUAACGCUUUAUGCUGCAGAGUCCCUGCAACUCACCAACCCGUGCCGGAACUCACCGGAGCUCAGGCUGACGGCACAGGUAGAAGUGGAGAGAGUAUUUAUGCAGCAAGACAUCCAGCCCUGGCUUCAGAUGCUCCACUCCAGCCCUCUGAGAAUACAAUGGAAACUGAGGCAGAAUCGAUGAUCCACUGCUGAACAUGCCCAGUGGUCAUGCCUGGCAGGAUCAAGUCUAAAGCUGCUAUUUGUACUCUGGCUGGAGUGCAGUGGUGCAAUCUCGACUCAUUGCAACCUCCACGUUCCAGAUUCAAGCAAUUCACCUGCCUCAGCAGGUUGUAGAACUUAAUAGAAUAGUAUUUAGAUUGUAUUACUCUAAAUGAAAUCUACCAUGGAAUUUAAACUGUACCAGUGAAUGCUGAUAUAUAAAAAGAUU
Saimiri boliviensis boliviensis (Bolivian squirrel monkey) is the source of this 917-nucleotide non-coding RNA. NCBI's taxonomy places the organism in Eukaryota, Metazoa, Chordata, Mammalia, Primates, Cebidae. The record is from RefSeq and is a predicted model, not a curated record.